Molecule: long non-coding RNA, 2509 nt
Organism: Oncorhynchus keta (chum salmon)
Lineage: Eukaryota; Metazoa; Chordata; Actinopteri; Salmoniformes; Salmonidae
Exons: 3
Source: RefSeq, a predicted model, not a curated record
UGUACGCAUACACGUGUUAUCAGUAUAUCUCUACGUGGCUCAAUCAGUUUCUUGUGGUGGGAAAACUUUCUUCACGUGUUGAACUCAACUGGCACUUAUACUGCACAUCUGUGUGUGUCUGCGUUUGUGUCUGUGUGUGUGUGGGCGAUGGGAGUUUCCCAAUGGAAAGAGGAUCAUGGAUACUGUGGUGAAGAUGUGAUUGAGUAAUAAAAGAGACAGGAAACAGGCAACUGAGAGGGCAGCUGGUGGGAGUGUAUUGGGGUCCUGAUUCAGAAAAGCCCUUGGGUUCCCUGCUAGAUAACAGUAUUUACUCAGCUAUAAAGGUGAUCAUCUAGGUUCCCUGCUAGAUAACAGUAUUUACUCAGCUAUAAAGGUGGUCAUCUAGGUUCCCUGCUAGAUAACAGUAUUUACUCAGCUAUAAAGGUGAUCAUCUAGGUUCCCUGCUAGAUAACAGUAUUUACUCAGCUAUAAAGGUGGUCAUCUAGGUUCCCUGCUAGAUAACAGUAUUUACUCAGCUAUAAAGGUGGUCAUCGAGGUUCCCUGCUAGAUAACAGUAUUUACUCAGCUAUAAAGGUGAUCAUCUAGGUUCCCUGCUAGAUAACAGUAUUUACUCAGCUAUAAAGGUGGUCAUCUAGGUUCCCUGCUAGAUAACAGUAUUUACUCAGCUAUAAAGGUGGUCAUCGAGGUUCCCUGCUAGAUAACAGUAUUUACUCAGCUAUAAAGGUGAUCAUCUAGGUUCCCUGCUAGAUAACAGUAUUUACUCAGCUAUAAAGGUGGUCAUCUAGGUUCCCUGCUAGAUAACAGUAUUUACUCAGCUAUAAAGGUGGUCAUCUAGGUUCCCUGCUAGAUAACAGUAUUUACUCAGCUAUAAAGGUGGUCAUCGAGGUUCCCUGCUAGAUAACAGUAUUUACUCAGCUAUAAAGGUGGUCAUCGAGGUUCCCUGCUAGAUAACAGUAUUUACUCAGCUAUAAAGGUGAUCAUCUAGGUUCCCUGCUAGAUAACAGUAUUUACUCAGCUAUAAAGGUGAUCAUCUAGGUUCCCUGCUAGAUAACAGUAUUUACUCAGCUAUAAAGGUGAUCAUCUAGGUUCCCUGCUAGAUAACAGUAUUUACUCAGCUAUAAAGGUGAUCAUCUAGGUUCCCUGCUAGAUAACAGUAUUUACUCAGCUAUAAAGGUGAUCAUCUAGGUUCCCUGCUAGAUAACAGUAUUUACUCAGCUAUAAAGGUGAUCAUCUAGGUUCCCUGCUAGAUAACAGUAUUUACUCAGCUAUAAAGGUGGUCAUCGAGGUUCCCUGCUAGAUAACAACACAACGUGGAAGCCUUGAUGUUGUGAGAUAGUUGCUAGUUGGUAAUGAUACAUUAUUGUCAGUGUGUCUCUUAAUGGGUUAAGAGGAUGGAAACAUUAAUAUAAUAUGAUUCAAAUACAAUAAAAAUACCUGUUUUAUUGUCAUAUACAGCAGAUAGGUGCAGUGAAAUGUGUUGUUUUACAGGGUCAGUAAAUGAAGGUUACAUGUAAGUGCCUUGCUCAAGGGCACAUCGGUAGAUUUUUCACCUUGUCGUCACUGUGAUGUGGUGCUUUAGUGAUUGUGUGGCUGAAUGGGCUGAAGGUUGGAUCCUCUGUCUCAUCAGCCCCAAGUGUCCAUGUUUUCUCUGCUCGGAGGGAAGUUUCCCCUAGGUACAGAUCCAGGAUCAGCUUCACCUCCCCCAACACACACCUUAGACAUUAUUGUGGAAAUUACAAAGCAAUAUUUAAGGCUCAUGGAGACAUUUGCCAUAACUGCAUGCAACAUAGAUUAUGAGGUGUGUUGCCCUUUUCAUUUGGGCUGGGAAGUUCACCCUGGACUGUGUUUUCUAGCUCUCCUUUCACAAGACAAGAAGCAACAGAGACGUCAAUGGAAGGGGUCAGUAAGAGCCGUCCACGUGGUCGAAGGAGUGUCUCUGCACAUGUGACACCUUGACUACUUCCUGGUUGCAGCCAGAGGUCACGGAGAGGUCAAAUGGGGGAGAGGAUCUUGUCAGAGCCUAACUACUCUUAGGAGAGAGGUCUUCAAGAAUCCAUACCAGACAGUGGUUUAAGGUGACUGAAUGACCCUGUCGGGUCUGGUCUGAACCAGUCAGUGUGUUGUGGAGACAGGCGGUCGUUAGGGAGGAAAACACGACGUCUGCUUGAGGCUGGGAACUGGAAGGCUCCUCCCUCCAGUAGUGUGACGGAUCAGUGAAGAAUGGAGAGAGAACUGGUCAUCUUGGCUAAUGGGCUCAUCUCUAGUCUAGUCUACCCCUGCAUGUAGGCUGCUGGAUCUAGAUGGAUCACUCCAAUGAAGGAGGACCGGAGGUGGAACGGCCCAUUGUGAUGUUAAAGGGGGGGUAGACAUUCUCUUUCACUGUGUAAUGCCGUGCAAAGAGACAGGGGAUGGAACUGACCACUAAAUGAUCAUGUUGACAGCAGGUUGUCGUGCAGACCAUCGGUAGUGUGAUAUGUGCUGCUGUGUUUAUGUGUGUGGAAUGGGCUGG